CGUGUAAGUUAGAAGUCUGACGGAGCACGCCGCGUGAGUGAUGAAGGCUUUCGGGUCGUAAAACUCUGUUGUUAGGGAAGAACAAGUACAAGAGUAACUGCUUGUACCUUGACGGUACCUAACCAGAAAGCCACGGCUAACUACGUGCCAGCAGCCGCGGUAAUACGUAGGUGGCAAGCGUUAUCCGGAAUUAUUGGGCGUAAAGCGCGCGCAGGCGGUUUCUUAAGUCUGAUGUGAAAGCCCACGGCUCAACCGUGGAGGGUCAUUGGAAACUGGGGAACUUGAGUGCAGAAGAGAAAAGCGGAAUUCCACGUGUAGCGGUGAAAUGCGUAGAGAUGUGGAGGAACACCAGUGGCGAAGGCGGCUUUUUGGUCUGUAACUGACGCUGAGGCGCGAAAGCGUGGGGAGCAAACAGGAUUAGAUACCCUGGUAGUCCACGCCGUAAACGAUGAGUGCUAAGUGUUAGAGGGUUUCCGCCCUUUAGUGCUGCAGCUAACGCAUUAAGCACUCCCCCCGGGG
This 519-nucleotide ribosomal RNA is filed under the name Priestia megaterium. Its description in RNAcentral is "bacterial SSU rRNA". It matches the Rfam family "Bacterial small subunit ribosomal RNA", at positions 367 to 878 of the family's 1533-position model. The record is from RNAcentral. Lineage: Bacteria; Bacillati; Bacillota; Bacilli; Caryophanales; Bacillaceae.